AUGAAUUUCUUAGCCUGGAACUGUCGAGGCUUGGGGUUGGACUCGACGGUUGGCGAACUCAGAGACCUGAUACGGUCAUACAACCCAGCGGUGGUUUUUCUUUCAGAAACGAAGAAGAAGGCGAGAGCUAUGGAGAAACUUAAAUGGAGUUUGGGUUUUAGAAGUGGUGUUGCGGUUGAUUGUCAAGGUUUGAGUGGAGGUUUGGCUCUUUGGUGGAGAGAUAAUGUGCAGGUUAACAUAAGGCCUUGGUGCCAAUACUUCAUAGAUGCGGAAAUGAUAUGGGAAGGAAAGACCUAUAGAUUCAUUGGUUUCUAUGGGGAGCCCAAGACGGAGUUGCGCAAGAAAUCAUGGGAUGCGAUUAGGUUCCUAAAAGCACAAGACAGAUCUUCCAUGGAUUUGUGUUGGGGACUACAAUGA
RNAcentral lists this ribosomal RNA (417 nucleotides) under Triticum aestivum (bread wheat). RNAcentral's name for it is "partial small subunit ribosomal RNA". Lineage: Eukaryota; Viridiplantae; Streptophyta; Magnoliopsida; Poales; Poaceae. The record is from RNAcentral.